AUAUAUAUAAAAAAGAGGUGAGAAGGGUAUAAAAAUUUUAAAUGAAAAACAUUGCUUAGAAUAGAAUAAAAUCCCAUUGUGGAUUCAGCAAUAUAUCUUGCUCUUAAAAAUUUGUUCUGCCAUUUUUCUGUGACAUUAGAAUUUUCAUCAGCAAUAAACUUACAUUUUUUCAUAUAUUAAAAAAAUUAGAGGUGAUGACAAAGUUUAAUGUUAAAGAUAAGAAAGGCAAUGGGUUGAAAGUCAAGGCAAUUGUGACUAACAAUGUCAGAGGAAGCCACUCUAAUGCCAAAUCAUUCUGAUAUUCUCCUCUUUUCAACCGUUACCCGGAAAGCUCAUAUAUAGUUUUUUAAGAUUAAAUGGUAAAUUCCUUUUCUAUUUUAGAAUUGCCAAUAAAUGACUGAUAAAAAUGAGAAAAAAAUCAGAAGAGAAGAAUAUGAUGGAAAAAAAAAAGAAGAAAAUCUAGUUAUUUUGGAGCUGGCACCACAAAGAAGGAAAAGGAAAGUGAUGGUGGAUAUAAGAAACAUAAGAAGGAAAGGCAAUGUGGAAUACCUGGGACAUCUCAGAGGAAAGAUUUUGUGACUGAGACAACAAAAUAACUUCAACAUAUAGGAUGUGCAAAAAGAAAAUGUAGAUACAAUUCAAGGAAGUUUUAACAAACAGUAUGUAAACUUGAAUUCAAGGACUUAUUUGCAUGGUUAAAUGAGUUUAAGCAUCACUUGAAUUAAUGCUCUCAUUCUUAGGUUAGACUCCUGAGAUAACCCUGCUGGAUAGUUAGCAGACAUCUUAGCAUUGUUGUUAUGUAUGCUAAAGUUGUACUUAACUUCUAAU
RNAcentral lists this long non-coding RNA (828 nucleotides) under Macaca fascicularis (crab-eating macaque). Its description in RNAcentral is "lncRNA (ENSMFAG00000052282.1)". Lineage: Eukaryota; Metazoa; Chordata; Mammalia; Primates; Cercopithecidae. The record is from RNAcentral.